GCAGGUAUUCGGUAGCUGCUUCCCGCACGGAGCCGUUACCAGGUACAAAGAGCGCCAACUCCUAGUACCUUCGAAAAACCGCCCGCCAAGGCGGUUUUUUCGUUUC
Molecule: non-coding RNA, 106 nt
Filed under: Aeromonas sobria
Lineage: Bacteria; Pseudomonadati; Pseudomonadota; Gammaproteobacteria; Aeromonadales; Aeromonadaceae
Source: RNAcentral